RNAcentral lists this long non-coding RNA (472 nucleotides) under Capra hircus (goat). Its description in RNAcentral is "lncRNA (ENSCHIG00010014033.1)". The record is from RNAcentral. Lineage: Eukaryota; Metazoa; Chordata; Mammalia; Artiodactyla; Bovidae.
AGGAAAAGACCUUCUCCACAGUGACCAGGCUGGUUCACCCCAGGGCUUCACCUGCUUUCUCUCAUCAACAGUGGGAAGCCUCCUACAGUGUUUAAGAGAUUUAAAACACGCUUCCUCGGGGUGACAGAGUUAAUAAGCCAGACGGCAGGACGUCAAAGCCUCCUAUCUCAUUUGAUAAUCUGAGUCCCAUUUAAAGCAGGAGAUUGGACUUUGGUGCACAUAAUUGCAACUCCACCCCCACCCCCUGCCGCCGCCUCAGGAGUACUGAACAGGAACAUUCCAAGAGGAAAAGGGGCCAUACUGAACAUUUCUUGUGGGCUUGAGUAGUUUAGAAAGGUAGGCAAAAGGAGCAUUUGUUUUUUACUUUUUCAAUUCCAAUUGAUACUAUUUUAGUGAUGUUUAAUGGAUAAAACCCUGGGCAUGCUUUCUUUCUGGCAUCAGUCAAAGGCUUGACCUGAUUAUGCCCCCUGCC